CCUACGGGUGGCAGCAGUCGAGAAUCAUUCACAAUGGGGGAAACCCUGAUGGUGCGACGCCGCGUGGGGGAAUGAAGGUCUUCGGAUUGUAAACCCCUGUCAUGUGGGAGCAAAUUAAAAAGAUAGUACCACAAGAGGAAGAGACGGCUAACUCUGUGCCAGCAGCCGCGGUAAUACAGAGGUCUCAAGCGUUGUUCGGAAUCACUGGGCGUAAGGCGUGCGUAGGCUGUUUCGUAAGUCGUGUGUGAAAGGCGCGGGCUCAACCCGCGGACGGCACAUGAUACUGCGAGACAAGAGUAAUGGAGGGGGAACCGGAAUUCUCGGUGUAGCAGUGAAAUGCGUAGAUAUCGAGAGGAACACUCGUGGCGAAGGCGGGUUCCUGGACAUUAACUGACGCUGAGGCACGAAGGCCAGGGGAGCGAAAGGGAUUAGAUACCCCUGUAGUC
This 446-nucleotide ribosomal RNA is filed under the name uncultured bacterium. Its description in RNAcentral is "partial 16S ribosomal RNA". It matches the Rfam family "Bacterial small subunit ribosomal RNA", at positions 338 to 795 of the family's 1533-position model. The record is from RNAcentral.